UACGUAGGUGGCAAGCGUUGUCCGGAAUUAUUGGGCGUAAAGCGCGCGCAGGCGGCCUCUUAAGUCUGAUGUGAAAGCCCCCCGGCUCAACCGGGGAGGGCCAUUGGAAACUGGUAGGCUUGAGUAUAGGAGAGAAGAGUGGAAUUCCACGUGUAGCGGUGAAAUGCGUAGAGAUGUGGAGGAACACCAGUGGCGAAGGCGACUCUUUGGCCUAUAACUGACGCUGAGGCGCGAAAGCGUGGGGGAGCAAACAGG
Molecule: ribosomal RNA, 255 nt
Filed under: uncultured bacterium
Lineage: Bacteria
Description: partial 16S ribosomal RNA
Rfam family: Bacterial small subunit ribosomal RNA
Source: RNAcentral